RNAcentral lists this ribosomal RNA (377 nucleotides) under uncultured bacterium. RNAcentral's name for it is "bacterial SSU rRNA". It matches the Rfam family "Bacterial small subunit ribosomal RNA", at positions 521 to 896 of the family's 1533-position model. The record is from RNAcentral.
UAAUACGAAGGGUGCAAGCGUUACUCGGAAUUACUGGGCGUAAAGCGUGCGUAGGCGGUUUGUUAAGUCCGUUGUGAAAGCCCUGGGCUCAACCUGGGAAUUGCAGUGGAUACUGGCAAGCUAGAGUACGGUAGAGGAUGGUGGAAUUCCCGGUGUAGCGGUGAAAUGCGUAGAGAUCGGGAGGAACACCCGUGGCGAAGGCGGCCAUCUGGACCAGUACUGACGCUGAGGCACGAAAGCGUGGGGAGCAAACAGGAUUAGAUACCCUGGUAGUCCACGCCCUAAACGAUGCGAACUGGAUGUUGGGCACACUUAGGUGCUCAGUGUCGAAGCUAACGCGUUAAGUUCGCCGCCUGGGGAGUACGGUCGCAAGACUG